CCCUUAACUACUAAAAAUUUCGUUUUGGUCCAUUAACUUAUUUUUUGGUUUCGUUUUGGUCCCUUAACUCUUCCUCCGUCAACCACUUUGGUCCUUUAUGUUCGGAUGAAUGUAUUAGAGUUAAGGGACCAAAACGAAACCAAAAAAUAAGUUAAGGGACCAAAACGAAACCAAAAAAUAAGUUAAGGGACCAAAACGAAACCAAAAAAAUAAGUUAAUGGACCAAAACGAAACUUUUAAUAGUUAAGGGA
RNAcentral lists this microRNA precursor (251 nucleotides) under Medicago truncatula (barrel medic). RNAcentral's name for it is "MIR2655 microRNA precursor family". It matches the Rfam family "MIR2655 microRNA precursor family". The record is from Rfam by way of RNAcentral. Lineage: Eukaryota; Viridiplantae; Streptophyta; Magnoliopsida; Fabales; Fabaceae.